Molecule: ribosomal RNA, 497 nt
Filed under: uncultured bacterium
Lineage: Bacteria
Description: partial 16S ribosomal RNA
Rfam family: Bacterial small subunit ribosomal RNA
Source: RNAcentral
GAUGAACGCUGGCGGCGUGCCUAAUACAUGCAAGUCGAGCGAACAGACGAGGAGCUUGCUCCUCUGACGUUAGCGGCGGACGGGUGAGUAACACGUGGAUAACCUACCUAUAAGACUGGGAUAACUUCGGGAAACCGGAGCUAGUACCGGAUAAUAUAUUGAACCGCAUGGUUCAAUAGUGAAAGACGGUUUUGCUGUCACUUAUAGAUGGAUCCGCGCCGCAUUAGCUAGUUGGUAAGGUAACGGCUUACCAAGGCAACGAUGCGUAGCCGACCUGAGAGGGUGGUCGGCCACACUGGAACGGAGACACGGUCCAGACUCCUACGGGAGGCAGCAGUAGGGAAUCUUCCGCAAUGGGCGAAAGCCUGACGGAGCAACGCCGCGUGAGUGAUGAAGGUCUUCGGAUCGUAAAACUCUGUUAUUAGGGAAGAACAAAUGUGUAAGUAACUAUGCACGUCUUGACGGUACCUAAUCAGAAAGCCACGGCUAACUACGUG